RNAcentral lists this ribosomal RNA (429 nucleotides) under Gemmatimonadota bacterium. RNAcentral's name for it is "Gemmatimonadetes bacterium partial 16S ribosomal RNA". It matches the Rfam family "Bacterial small subunit ribosomal RNA", at positions 355 to 776 of the family's 1533-position model. The record is from RNAcentral. Lineage: Bacteria; Pseudomonadati; Gemmatimonadota.
UAGGGAAUCUUCGGCAAUGGACGAAAGUCUGACCGAGCAACGCCGCGUGAGUGAAGAAGGUUUUCGGAUCGUAAAACUCUGUUGUUAGAGAAGAACAAGGACGUUAGUAACUGAACGUCCCCUGACGGUAUCUAACCAGAAAGCCACGGCUAACUACGUGCCAGCAGCCGCGGUAAUACGUAGGUGGCAAGCGUUGUCCGGAUUUAUUGGGCGUAAAGCGAGCGCAGGCGGUUUCUUAAGUCUGAUGUGAAAGCCCCCGGCUCAACCGGGGAGGGUCAUUGGAAACUGGGAGACUUGAGUGCAGAAGAGGAGAGUGGAAUUCCAUGUGGAGCGGUGAAAUGCGUAGAUAUAUGGAGGAACACCAGUGGCAAAGGCGGCUCUCUGGUCUGUAACUGACGCUGAGGCUCGAAAGCGUGGGGAGCAAACAGG